RNAcentral lists this ribosomal RNA (528 nucleotides) under uncultured eukaryote. RNAcentral's name for it is "bacterial SSU rRNA". It matches the Rfam family "Eukaryotic small subunit ribosomal RNA", at positions 1128 to 1667 of the family's 1831-position model. The record is from RNAcentral.
GUCGCAAGGCCGAAACUUAAAGGAAUUGACGGAAGGGCACCACCAGGAGUGGAAUCUGCGGCUUAAUUUGACCCAACGCGGGAAAACUCACCAGGUCAGGACACGGUAAGGAUUGACGGACUGAAGGAUCUUUCUCGAUUCCGUGGAAAGUGGUGCAUGGCCGUUUUUGGUUGGUGGAUCGAUCCGUCUGGUUAAUUCCGUUAACGAACGAGACCUCGGCACUCCGAAUAGCGCGGCGGACGUCGCGGCCUCCGGGCCGUCUUCCGCGCGAGCUUCUUAGAGGGACCGUCCCCCGCCGGGGAAGGAGGUUCGAGGCAACGACAGGUCUGUGAUGCCCUUAGAUGUUCUGGGCCGCACGCGCAUUACACUGACGCGUCCAACGGGCGACUCCCGGCCCGAAGGGGUCGGGGAAUCCGCAAGGCGCGUCGUGAUGGGGAUUGAACGUUGCAAUUGUUGUUCACGAACGAGGAAUUCCUAGUAGGCGCGGGUCAUCAACCCGCGCCGAUUACGUCCCUGCCCUUUGUACAC